Molecule: ribosomal RNA, 500 nt
Filed under: uncultured bacterium
Lineage: Bacteria
Description: partial 16S ribosomal RNA
Rfam family: Bacterial small subunit ribosomal RNA
Source: RNAcentral
AUUGAACGCUGGCGGAAUGCUUUACACAUGCAAGUCGAACGGCAGCACGGACUUCGGUCUGGUGGCGAGUGGCGAACGGGUGAGUAAUGUAUCGGAACGUGCCCAGUCGUGGGGGAUAACGUAGUGAAAAUUACGCUAAUACCGCAUACGAUCUAUGGAUGAAAGCGGGGGAUCGCAAGACAUCGCGCGAUUGGAGCGGCCGAUAUCAGAUUAGGUAGUUGGUGGGGUAAAGGCCCACCAAGCCAACGAUCUGUAGCUGGUCUGAGAGGACGACCAGCCACGCUGGAACAUAGACGCGGUCCAGACUCCUACGGGAGGCAGCAGUGGGGAAUUUUGGAAAAUGGGCGAAAGCCUGAUUCAGCCAUUCCGCGUGCAGGAUGAAGGCCCUCGGGUUGUAAACUGCUUUUGUACAGAACGAAAAGGUUUCUACUAAUACUAGGAGCUCAUGACGGUACUGUAAGAAUAAGCACCGGCUAACUACGUGCCAGCCGCCGCCGUAA